UUCCCAUCUCCUUCGCUUUGCUUUACUGCCCUCGGUUUCAUCGCUUCGACCACCAAUGACCCAUCAUCUCAUUUUCUCUGUUUUCAUUUCCUUCAUGAAGACCCUUUCUGUUUCAUCUUCCCUCAGCAUCAUCUCCUUCAUGAAGACUCUCUCAGUCUCGUCCUCAUUCUCUACGAGAUGAGUCUGCAUGUGCUAUAAUAAGAGAAAACAUAGAAGCCACAUGUGCAGAUCCAACGAGACCCAUGUCAUGGAGACGAAGACAGUGGCUUCUCCUCUAAGUCA
RNAcentral lists this unclassified non-coding RNA (282 nucleotides) under Hevea brasiliensis (rubber tree). The record is from RNAcentral. Lineage: Eukaryota; Viridiplantae; Streptophyta; Magnoliopsida; Malpighiales; Euphorbiaceae.